This 1017-nucleotide long non-coding RNA is filed under the name Ananas comosus (pineapple). RNAcentral describes it as "long non-coding RNA (ACOM_LNC013368)". Lineage: Eukaryota; Viridiplantae; Streptophyta; Magnoliopsida; Poales; Bromeliaceae. The record is from RNAcentral.
CCUCUAAUUUAAAUUUCACUUUUAAAUUUUAAGUAUUUAAUUUUUUCUAAAUUAAUGCCUAAUAAUUGCAUAAAUUUGGUUAAUCAAUUAAUUUUCUAAAGUAGUGCUAAUUAAUGCAUAAAUUUAGGACCUCAAUUAAUUAAAAGUUUCUUUAAAUAUUGUAUUAUUUAAUUACCAAACUAAUCUUGAAUAAAAUAAUUCUUUUACCUGCUAAAUAUUAAAGUUAUAUUUUUACCCUAUAUUAAUCAACGGUUAAGAUUUUUUUUAUUUAAUUUUUUAAAAAGUACCGAAUCAUUUCUCAUAAUCUUAUAUCUCAUUCAUUCAAUAGCCAUUCUUCUCCCUACUCAUUUUACCACGUUUUUUUUUUUUUUUUUUAAAUUACUUAGCUUUUAAAAAGGCCGGUAAAUCCUACAAACCUUUGGAUGAGGGGAUAUUAUUAAAUUUAAUUUAAUAAGAGGCCCGUAAAAAUAAUCUAUAAAAAUAUCUAGCUUGUCUAACAAUCCUUUUAUUUAGAGUAUUAUUUGACCAACUAUUUCUAUUAUUAUCAACUCAGUGUCAUAUUAGACGAGAAUAAGAAAGAUUCACAAAUAAGAAAAGACUGUGUAGAAAUCUGUGAAAAAAUUCACAAAUGAGAAAAAAAGGAUGGUAAAGAAAAGCGGUGAAUCAUUCCCAUUUUUAACUAAUUAUUGUUGUUUAUAGAUUCUUUUUGUAUUGAUUGUGAAGAUCUUAUCAUUUCCAAUUUCAAAUUAUUAUUGUUGUUUAUAGAUUAUUUUGUAUUGAUUGUGAGGAUUUUUGUAAUAUUGUUUAGAUAUUUUUAUAUCGGCGAUGAGGAUUUUUAUAAGGUUGUUAGAACUUAGAAGUGUAUGUAGAUUAUUAAAAUUUUUAUUUGUUUUGAUUAUUAAGAUUGUAUAAAUAUAUUGUUGGGAUAUUUUAGAUAGUUAAGAUUGUGCAUGAUUUAUUAUCAUUUUUACAUGGAUAUUAAAUUUUCUAAAAAAAUUAGAAGAAAUAAUAAAUUAU